This is an RNA transcript of Aegilops tauschii subsp. strangulata, 1785 nucleotides long. RefSeq lists it as uncharacterized. The record is from RefSeq and is a predicted model, not a curated record. NCBI's taxonomy places the organism in Eukaryota, Viridiplantae, Streptophyta, Magnoliopsida, Poales, Poaceae.
AUGGAUCGAAUCCCCACCCCCCAAAACCCUAACCAACACCCAGCGGAGCGAGCCACAUCGCCAUGGACUCCGACGAGGAGUGGGUCGUCCUCGACUCCGACAACCCCGCCGACUCCUCGGACGACGACCGCGGCGUCCUCGCGCUCCCCGCCUCCACCUCCCCCCUCGCCCUCUCCUCCUCCUCCGACGAGGACGACGACGACGACGAGGACGAGGAGGACGAGGACGACGACGACGACGGCCUGCAGUCGGCGGCGGGCUCGGAGGAGGAGGAGGACCCGUUCGAGGUGGACGAGGACGAGGACGCGUCGCCGGAGCAGCGGCUCACGCGGCCGCUCUCGGGCAUGUUCCACCACACGCCCUUCGACUCGGUCGCCUACGCGGCCUUCGACCCCGUGCGCAGCGCCAAGCAGCUCAUCCCGGACCCGGCCUUCUCCGCCUUCCCGGAGCGGGUCUCGGUGCUCGCCUCGUCGCGCGGCCUCGUCUGCCUCCGCGGCUGCGCCACCGGCUUCUACUACGUCGCCAACCCGCUCACCUUCCGCCGCGUGCGCCUCCCGUACCAGAACCGCGACCACCGGCUCGACGCCGACCCGGCCGUCGUCAUCACCUUCGAGGACGACGAGGACGCCGCGGGCGCCGUCGGCCUCGGCGCCGGCUUCCGCCACUACCACGUCGUCGUCACCUACCAGGUCCACGACGGCGUCUGGGCCGUCGAGUCCUUCUCCACCCGCACCUGGGACUGGCGCGUCGGGGACGACAUCUGCGCGCCCGAGACGGUCGUCGCCCAGUCCGGGGUCGGCGCGCGCGGCCGAGCCUUCUUCCGCACCACCAUCGGCCACAUCCUCUGCUACACCCCGGAGACGGGCUGCGUCGACCUCAUCCCCGCGCCCCAGGAGGUCGAGGGCCGCAAGGACUGGGAGAUCGGCGAGAUGGAGGGCAACUUCUGCGUCGCCUGCGUCGACCAGGCCGCCAAGGAGGUGGCCGUGCUCUACAUGGUGCCCGGCGACAGCGCCGACCAGGUCACCUGGGCCUGGGCAGGCCAGUUCCACGCCAACAAGAUGGGCUACCACGACAGGAUGACCCUGCUCCGCUCCCAGGGCGCCGCCGAGGUGGUCAUGUGGGAUCCUCUCGAGCAGCUCGUGCUCGCCGUCGACUUCGAUGGCAGGGUCACCCGCUCCAUCGGCCCCCUCUCCGGCGGGAUGUACUACUCGGAUUUCAUCCCCUACGUCAACUCAUACGCCGACAUCUACAGCGAGGAGGGGGUGGGAUCUGUGUUCAAGACCAAUGAUGAAGCCGUGACAUACAAAGUUCCACAAGCAUCUGUCAAAGCAGAAAUUGAUUCCAACUAAAUCUGUACCAAGAAAGGAAAGGAUUUGUUGAUGAUGGAGAAGGAAUAGAAGCUUCCAGAUGUGUGCAGCAUAAGGGAGAGCUAUAUAGAUAUCAUUCUUUGGAUGGCAGUUUUUGGCUGCUUUGCUGCAUAAGCAUUCUCAUGCAGUUUCUCUAGUAAUGCAAAACUAUGCUACGAUCUUGUUUCUUUUUUCUUUUUUCCAAGGGACGAAACUAUGUUCUCUUAUUGCUACUAGUAGGUGUUUUUGUCUGCCAUGUACAUACGUAGUUGGUUAGAUGCAGACUGCCCCCGUCGAGUUCUUAAUUGCUGAAUUCGAUCAUCUGGUGUCCGUGUGAUACCAUGUUAGCAAAUUUCUGGAUGCUUUCUUGAAUGUUUACCCUCGUUCUUGCAUGGCCUCACAUUAUAAUUUCAGAUCAUGUUCGUGCGUGUUGUUUGGA